UGGGGAAUUUUGGACAAUGGGCGAAAGCCUGAUCCAGCAAUGCCGCGUGCAGGAUGAAGGCCUUCGGGUUGUAAACUGCUUUUGUACGGAACGAAAAAGCUUCUCCUAAUACGAGAGGCCCAUGACGGUACCGUAAGAAUAAGCACCGGCUCACUACGUGCCAGCAGCCGCGGUAAUACGUAGGGUGCGAGCGUUAAUCGGCAUUACUGGGCGUAAAGCGUGCGCAGGCGGUUAUGUACGACAGAUGUGAAAUCCCCGGGCUCAACCUGGGAACUGCAUUUAUGACUGCAUGGCUAGGGUACGGUAGAGGGGGAUGGAAUUCCGCGUGUAGCAGUGAAAUGCGUAGAUAUGCGGAGGAACACCGAUGGCGAAGGCAAUCCCCUGGACCUGUACUGACGCUCAUGCACGAAAGCGUGGGGAGCAAACA
This 427-nucleotide ribosomal RNA is filed under the name uncultured bacterium. RNAcentral describes it as "bacterial SSU rRNA". It matches the Rfam family "Bacterial small subunit ribosomal RNA", at positions 355 to 774 of the family's 1533-position model. The record is from RNAcentral.